Molecule: unclassified non-coding RNA, 25 nt
Filed under: Mus musculus (house mouse)
Lineage: Eukaryota; Metazoa; Chordata; Mammalia; Rodentia; Muridae
Description: oocyte_clustered_small_RNA11432
Source: RNAcentral
UGGUGCCAGUAGCCUAAUAAUGACU